RNAcentral lists this ribosomal RNA (312 nucleotides) under Eretmocerus queenslandensis. RNAcentral's name for it is "eukaryotic LSU rRNA". It matches the Rfam family "Eukaryotic large subunit ribosomal RNA", at positions 666 to 944 of the family's 3401-position model. The record is from RNAcentral. Lineage: Eukaryota; Metazoa; Arthropoda; Insecta; Hymenoptera; Aphelinidae.
CCAAGGAGUCUAACAUGUGCGCGAGUCAUUGGGAUGAUAAAAACCUAAAGGCGCAAUGAAAGUGAAGGUCGUCCUUAGCGUCGACCGAGGGAGGAUGGCUCGUGUUACGAUGCGAGCUCGCACUCCCGGGGCGUCUCGUGCUCAUUGCGAGCUGAGGCGCACCCAGAGCGUACACGUUGGGACCCGAAAGAUGGUGAACUAUGCCUGGUCAGGACGAAGUCAGGGGAAACCCUGAUGGAGGUCCGUAGCGAUUCUGACGUGCAAAUCGAUCGUCGGAACUGGGUAUAGGGGCGAAAGACUAAUCGAACCAUC